Long non-coding RNA from Gallus gallus (chicken), 1491 nucleotides. NCBI's taxonomy places the organism in Eukaryota, Metazoa, Chordata, Aves, Galliformes, Phasianidae. The record is from Ensembl.
CCAACAUUGUUUUUGAAGAGAGCCCUGGAAGAGGGCUUUUUAUAACUUGUUAUCUACAUUGAGUGGAUGACUUAGCGCAGCUGAUGUCAUCAGAGUUGUCACACAGAGGUUCCCACAGUGAUUGGAGUGGUAUAAAUGUGUGGAUGCUCUACUUCAGUCAAGAGUAAAUAUUUCAACAGUAAUCCCUAGAGAGCUACUGUACUUUUGCUCAACAGAAGACAAGAUGGAAUGCCAAUGGUUACACUUUUGAUGUGGUGCAAAGCAGAAAUUUCAUUCCUUUUUAAACUACUACUAUACCCUGCUAAACUGUUGUAUACAGUCCUUCAUUGUGCUCAAGUGUUGAACGUGACAUUUGCAAAGCCAUCAGACCAUAGGAUUAUCUAUAUAUGGUCCAAAGAUCCAGCUUUCCAAUGCCUAUGGUCCAUUAGACUCACCUUAAAAGUUGCUAUGUGUUGAUGCGCCCAACUCUUAUCUGGGGUGAAAUCCAUCCUCCUUGAAGGUAAACCUGAAAGGAAAUAAUUAUGUCUGGAGCGAGAGAAGUGCGUUAAAUCAACCAACCUAUCUGAAGGAGCAAAGAUAAACACACUGCGCGGUGUUGCCUCCAGUAACACGCUUUGCUGCAUCCAUAUGCAAAAUUCUCAUGUCAGAGAAGCAUUAUCAUUUGGGUUCCCCAGCAAGAACCAUUCACAGAAGGACAUGAGCAAAGUUUAUAAUUAUGUUGUUGUGAAAAAAUGGUCGUUGAAAAAAAAAAAAAAACCAAAACACUGGAAUCUGUAAACAAGGAUAAGAGCAUGCAAUCCAAGAACAAGGUGAUGUCUUACCAUGAGGAAUUUUUCUUUACACUAUUCCUGUUUUUUCUGAUUUGACGUGUGAGUGUUUCUGAAAUUCCCUCUAACCUGCCUGUACAGCAUUUUGGUGUGAUUACAUCCCUGUGGAGCCUGGGGGGGUCUGGGUUGGUUCCCCGGCUCUGUCAGAAGCUGCCAGUGUAACCAUGAGCACAUGGCAUCAUUCCACUUGCAUCUCACUGAACCAUUCAGAGGACAGAUGUAUUCUCUUGGUGCUGCCUCACUGAAGUGAGGGGUGACAACAUUGCCUGUGAAGCUAUAUCAAAACCAGGGCACUUUAAAGCCCUAUGUAAACCAGCCCUGGCCUCAAUUUAUUUUCAUACAUUAGCCAAAAAUGGGGCCAGUGCUGAUGCGAGUCAGAGCUGAGUCACCUCUUCAUAAAUUCUUAGAUAUGUGGUUUAGGUGCUUUAAUCCUUCCUCAUAACUCAGCUCUCCUGGAUUACCCAUCACUUUGACGUCUCCUCCUUGAAGACAUUCCAGUUUAUCUAGAUACUUUUUGGUAAUUGAGGGCCUAGCAGUGAAUGUAAUUUUGUUUCUCAAUAUAUUUUCUAAAUCCUAAUUCAAAGCAUUAUGGUUUUAUGUAUGCAUAUAUAUUCUAUUAUGUAUUACAAUAUAUCAUACUAUAUAUAAUGUGAAGAAUUUGCCU